CGUGUAGGCGGUUGGGUAAGUCAGAUGUGAAAGCCCUGGGCUCAACCCAGGAAGUGCAUUUGAAACUACCCAACUUGAGUACGGGAGAGGAAGGGGGAAUUCCCGGUGUAGAGGUGAAAUUCGUAGAUAUCGGGAGGAAUACCGGUGGCGAAGGCGCCCUUCUGGACUGAUACUGACGCUGAGACGCGAAAGCGUGGGGAGCAAACA
RNAcentral lists this ribosomal RNA (207 nucleotides) under uncultured bacterium. RNAcentral's name for it is "partial 16S ribosomal RNA". It matches the Rfam family "Bacterial small subunit ribosomal RNA", at positions 568 to 774 of the family's 1533-position model. The record is from RNAcentral.